GAUGAACGCUGGCGGCGUGCCUAAUACAUGCAAGUCGAGCGAACAGACGAGGAGCUUGCUCCUCUGACGUUAGCGGCGGACGGGUGAGUAACACGUGGAUAACCUACCUAUAAGACGGGGAUAACUUCGGGAAACCGGAGCUAAUACCGGAGAAUAUAUUGAACCGCAUGGUUCAAUAGUGAAAGACGGCUUUGCUGUCACGUAUAGAUGGAUCCGCGCCGCAUUAGCUAGUUGGUAAGGUAACGGCUUACCAAGGCAACGAUGCGUAGCCGACCUGAGAGGGUGAUCGGCCACACUGGAACUGAGCCACGGUCCAGACUCCUACGGGAGGCAGCAGUAGGGAAUCUUCCGCAAUGGGCGAAAGCUUGACGGAGCAACGCCGCGUGAGUGAUGAAGGUCUUCGGAUCGUAAAACUCUGUUAUUAGGGAAGAACAAAUGUGUAAGUAACUAUGCACGUCUUGACGGUACCUAAUCAGAAAGCCACGGCUAACUACGUG
RNAcentral lists this ribosomal RNA (497 nucleotides) under uncultured bacterium. RNAcentral's name for it is "partial 16S ribosomal RNA". It matches the Rfam family "Bacterial small subunit ribosomal RNA", at positions 28 to 507 of the family's 1533-position model. The record is from RNAcentral.